AUCGGAAAGCUUUGGCCGGAAGAUACGUUAUCUAGUGGCGGACGGGUGAGUAACACGUGGGUAACCUGCCUUAUGGAGGGGGAUAACAGAGAGAAAUCACUGCUAAUACCGCAUAAGCACACAGUACCGCAUGGUACAGGGUGAAAAGAUUUAUCGCCAUAAGAUGGACCCGCGUCUGAUUAGCCAGUUGGCAGGGUAAAAGCCUACCAAAGCAACGAUCAGUAGCCGAUCUGAGAGGAUGACCGGCCACAUUGGGACUGAGACACGGCCCAAACUCCUACGGGAGUCAGCAGUGGGGAAUAUUGCACAAUGUGGGAAACCCUGAUGCAGCGACGCCGCGUGAGUGAAGAAGUAUUUCGGUAUGUAAAGCUCUAUCAGCAGGGAAGAUAAUGACAGUACCUGACUAAGAAGCCCCGGCUAACUACGUGCCAGCAGCCGCGGUAAUACGUAGGGGGCAAGCGUUAUCCGGAUUUACUGGGUGUAAAGGGAGCGUAGACGGAAUGGCAAGUCUGAAGUGAAAUACCCGGGCUCAACCUGGGAACUGCUUUGGAAACUGUUGUUCUAGAGUGUUGGAGAGGUAAGUGGAAUUCCUGGUGUAGCGGUGAAAUGCGUAGAUAUCAGGAAGAACACCGGAGGCGAAGGCGGCUUACUGGACAAUAACUGACGUUGAGGCUCGAAAGCGUGGGGAUCAAACAGGAUUAGAUACCCUGGUAGUCCACGCUGUAAACGAUGAAUAC
This 737-nucleotide ribosomal RNA is filed under the name uncultured Johnsonella sp. RNAcentral's name for it is "bacterial SSU rRNA". It matches the Rfam family "Bacterial small subunit ribosomal RNA", at positions 65 to 816 of the family's 1533-position model. Lineage: Bacteria; Bacillati; Bacillota; Clostridia; Lachnospirales; Lachnospiraceae. The record is from RNAcentral.